CGAAGCAGCUCUCUUUCUCGUAGCUUCGUAUUGAGUUCUUCUUGCGAAGGCAGUUUCCAGCCACUCUUCAUGGCAGCUGACCACCAUGCCUUCAGCUCAUCCUAUGGAAGUCAUGGUUGGAUACAAAGCGAGAAUCUACUUGGCAAGUUGAAUUCCUGAUGGUCACAGAAAGGCGAUUCUUAUCCAUCAUUUACCAUUUAUCCUGGCAACAUGAUAUCCAGUGCCACCCAAUGCUUCCUCCCAUUUACCAAAUCGUAGACGCAAGAAAAAGCCAUCUAAGGUGGUGUGCAUAACUGGUGACCUCAUCCAUCUUACCUUAUUAUAUCGGAGCGAGACAAACGGAGCCUCUGCAAGGCUCCAAAAACUACACUUGCUUCGUCAUAAACAUCAUUGGGCACAAUACCAUAAGGUACCAUUUGUUUGUUAUCUG
This 430-nucleotide small RNA is filed under the name Oryza sativa Japonica Group (Japanese rice). RNAcentral's name for it is "sRNA Os01g0775150". The record is from RNAcentral. Lineage: Eukaryota; Viridiplantae; Streptophyta; Magnoliopsida; Poales; Poaceae.